RNAcentral lists this ribosomal RNA (253 nucleotides) under uncultured bacterium. RNAcentral describes it as "partial 16S ribosomal RNA". It matches the Rfam family "Bacterial small subunit ribosomal RNA", at positions 524 to 776 of the family's 1533-position model. The record is from RNAcentral.
CACGUAGGGGACGAGCGUUGUCCGGAUUCAUUGGGCGUAAAGCGCGCGUAGGCGGCUCGGAAAGUCGGUCGUGAAAUGCCGGGGCUCAACCCCGGGACUGCGUCCGAUACUCCCGAGCUGGAGGCAGGUAGGGGAGAUCGGAAUUCCUGGUGUAGCGGUGAAAUGCGCAGAUAUCAGGAGGAACACCGGUGGCGAAGGCGGAUCUCUGGGCCUUGCCUGACGCUGAGGCGCGAAAGCGUGGGUAGCAAACAGG